Molecule: long non-coding RNA, 937 nt
Organism: Stomoxys calcitrans (stable fly)
Lineage: Eukaryota; Metazoa; Arthropoda; Insecta; Diptera; Muscidae
Exons: 4
Source: RefSeq, a predicted model, not a curated record
CACCACUACUAUGAUAUAGGGGUAUUAUAACUAAGUGCAUUUGUUUGUAACUUUUAGAAGGAAGAGAGAUGGACUCUUUGACACCCUUUUAGGACAAGAGAGGCAGCGGCCCUGCUGUCGGAAGUUACUGAUGCGUCUACAGGCAUACCAUAACUUGACCUUAUGCUGGGUGCCGGAGCACAAGGAUAUAGAGGGAAAUGAAAGGGCGGAUGUGCUUGCUGAGUCCGGAGUGAACCUCCAGCAAUUGUUUAAUAGUCUCAAGGAGCGCUGCAAAAAAAAGUUGAUAAAAUCGCUGGAAUGCGAGAGAAGGUUGUAAGCAAACGUAAUUGAUGUGCGACGAACGAGGCGGAACAUAGACGCUCUAUUUCCAAUGGAGAAGAUUGAGAUUUAAGUACAAUCAUUGGGAUGAUAACUGGACAUAACAAACACUAACUCGGAGGCGUUGGCCCAGUCAAAUACAAGGCUUUCCUGCGGCAAAAUGGUAUGAGAUAGUGCAUUGAAAUCUGUCUCCUUCAGGAGGGUGUUAAUGAUCAGAGAAGAGGAAAAGUUAACGAAGAAUCACAAUGGGACACAUGAUGGCCUACGCGGAUGUUAAGGUUGUUAUCAUUUGCUGCUGUUAUUGUGCCGCAAUUCGACCCAUUCCUAUUUUCUGUUCAAUAUUAAAACCAAGCCAAGUUUAUUGUGCCACCAAGUGAGUGGGGCUACUGCCUAGUGCAUCCUUCAAAAGGCAGGCCAAGCCAACUAUGCUGUCAUUUAUUGGUUGCUCAUUUGCACCAACAAGGACUCCAUGCCUUGCAAGCAAUUGAAAACCCAACAGCGUUUUGUAGAAACUUAUCCUCACCACUCUAGCUGAUGACUAUGUUGGAGUUGUUGAGCAAAUGUCUUUGACAAUCAACAGAUGAACACUGGAGUGGCAUGGACAGGAGCCGAAAAGUGG